RNAcentral lists this ribosomal RNA (537 nucleotides) under uncultured bacterium. RNAcentral's name for it is "bacterial SSU rRNA". It matches the Rfam family "Bacterial small subunit ribosomal RNA", at positions 8 to 526 of the family's 1533-position model. The record is from RNAcentral.
AGAGUUUGAUCAUGGCUCAGAAUGAACGCUGGCGGCGUGCUUAACACAUGCAAGUCGUGCGCGAAGGUGGCUUCGGUCACCGGAGAGCGGCGAACGGGUGAGUAACACGUGGGUGAUCUGCCUGGGAGCGGGGGAUAACCUGGGGAAACUCGGGCUAAUACCGCAUACGUCGUCGUGGUUACGAUCACGGCAAGAAAGCUGGCCUCUACUUGUAAGCUAGCACUCCCAGAGGAGCCCGCGGCUGAUUAGCUAGUUGGUGAGGUAAUGGCUCACCAAGGCUUCGAUCAGUAGCCGGCCUGAGAGGGUGAACGGCCACACUGGGACUGAGACACGGUCCAGACUCCUACGGGAGGCAGCAGUGGGGAAUUUUGCACAAUGGGCGAAAGCCUGAUGCAGCAACGCCGCGUGUGUAAUGAAGGUCUUCGGAUCGUAAAGCACUUUCGACCGGGACGAACACCCCUUGGCUAACAUCCAAGGAUCUGACGGUACCGGGAGAAGAAGCACCGGCUAACUCUGUGCCAGCAGCCGCGGUAAUUC